RNAcentral lists this ribosomal RNA (132 nucleotides) under Mugil cephalus (flathead mullet). RNAcentral describes it as "partial 16S ribosomal RNA". Lineage: Eukaryota; Metazoa; Chordata; Actinopteri; Mugiliformes; Mugilidae. The record is from RNAcentral.
ACGCAACUAAUACUUAUUUAUACACACCUCCCAAUGUACUAAAAUAAAUAAACCAAACCAUUUUACCCCCUUAGUAUGAGCGACAGAAAUGAAAUCACCAGAGCGAUAGAAAAAGUACCGCAAGGGAAAGCU